AUUGAACGCUGGCGGCAGGCCUAACACAUGCAAGUCGAGCGGAUGAAGGGAGCUUGCUCCUGGAUUCAGCGGCGGACGGGUGAGUAAUGCCUAGGAAUCUGCCUGGUAGUGGGGGAUAACGUCCGGAAACGGGCGCUAAUACCGCAUACGUCCUGAGGGUGAAAGUGGGGGAUCUUCGGACCUCACGCUAUCUGAUGAGCCUAGGUCGGAUUAGCUAGUUGGUGGGGUAAAGGCCUACCAAGGCGACGAUCCGUAACUGGUCUGAGAGGAUGAUCAGUCACACUGGAACUGAGACACGGUCCAGACUCCUACGGGAUGCAGCAGUGGGGAAUAUUGGACAAUGGGCGAAAGCCUGAUCCAGCCAUGCCGCGUGUGUGAAGAAGGUCUUCGGAUUGUAAAGCACUUUAAGUUGGGAGGAAGGGCAGUAAGUUAAUACCUUGCUGUUUUGACGUUACCAACAGAAUAAGCACCGGCUAACUUCGUG
RNAcentral lists this ribosomal RNA (484 nucleotides) under uncultured bacterium. RNAcentral's name for it is "partial 16S ribosomal RNA". It matches the Rfam family "Bacterial small subunit ribosomal RNA", at positions 30 to 507 of the family's 1533-position model. The record is from RNAcentral.